This is a long non-coding RNA of Eriocheir sinensis (Chinese mitten crab), 2070 nucleotides long. RefSeq lists it as uncharacterized. The record is from RefSeq and is a predicted model, not a curated record. Lineage: Eukaryota; Metazoa; Arthropoda; Malacostraca; Decapoda; Varunidae. The transcript is spliced from 2 exons.
AAGAAAAUGAUAAAGAAGCAGAAAAAUGAGAAAAUGACGAAGAACAAAAAAAAAGAAUAGGAGAAAGACAGAAGAACAAGGAGAAGAAAAAGACGGAAAAGAAAACAAGUAAAAAAAGAAGAAAACAAGAAAGAAAGGAGUGGAAGGUAGUCUCUGUAUCUGGUAACAAGUCUUCCCAAGGUGUCAACACAAGCUUGGAUCCCUUAUUUAGCCUAUCACCAAAGCGCCUAAUCCAUCCCUCCGUUGCACUGUUGCCACACUAGCCUAAACCCGUAUUCCUAACCGCAUCGGCACCUCAGUUCUCCUGUUUCAAAAGCCUCUCGUCGUAGAAGUGCUGGGAUUUUCAUGGACUGUUUUAAGAUCCUAGUGAUAGUUUUACCCGACUCGGCAGCGUGAAAGCCCGAAUGUAGAAAUGCUGGGAUGUCCAUUGACUGUUUUGUGAUCCUAGUGAUAGUUUUACCCGACUCGGCAGCGUGAAAGCCCGAAUGUAGAAGAUGCUGGGAUGUCCACUGACUGUUUUGUGAUCCUAGUGAUAGUUUUACACGACUUUAAACCAUGAACGGGAAAAAAAAACACCCAUGGAAGCCUGAAUGUAGAAGAUGCUGGGAUGUCCAUUGACUGUUUUGUGAUCCUAGUGAUAGUUUAACAUGACUUUAAACCAUGAACGAGAAAAAAAAACACCCAUGAAAGCCUGAAUGUAGAAGGUGCUGGGAUGUCCAUUGACCCUUAUGUGAUCCUAGUUAUAGUUUUAAAUGACUUUGCACCUAUAAAAGAAGUGGUUAUACCUCUCUAUGGCAUCUCGUAAAAGUUCCUGGGAUUUCCAUGGCGUGUUUUGUGAUCCAAGUGAUAGUUUUACCUGACUUCUGCACCAUGAACAGGAAAAUUACCCACCCAUGAAAACCCGGUUAAUCUCCCCUGUGGCCUUGGGAAAUAGUCUUAAUAGGAGGCCGAAACGUUUGAGAAUAAGGAUUUUGUGAGGCUAAUAAUAGUUUUUCCAGACUUCUACACAAUGAACAGGAAAAUUACCCACCCAUGAAAACCUGGUUAAUCGCAUCUGUAGCCUUGGGAAGUAGUCUUAAUAGGAGGCCGAAACGUUUGAGAAUAAGGAUUUUGUGAGGCUAAUAAUAGUUUUUCCAGACUUCUACACAAUGAACAGGAAAAUUACCCACCCAUGAAAACCUGGUUAAUCUCCCCUGUGGCCUUGGGAAGUAGUCUUAAUAGGAGGCCGAAACGUUUGAGAAUAUGGAUUUUGUGAGGCUAAUAAUAGUUUUUCCUGCUUUCUACACCAUGAAGAGGAAAAUUACCCACCCAUGAAAACCUGGUUAAUCGCAUCUGUGGCCUUGGGAAGUAGUCUUAAUAGGAGGCCGAAACGUUUGAGAAUAUGGAUUUUGUGAGGCUAAUAAUAGCUUUACCAGACUUCUACAAAAUGAACAAGAAAAUCACUCAUUAAAACCUGGUUAAUCUCCUCUGUGGCCUUGAGAUACGGUCUUAACGGGAGCCUUGGACGUUAAAUAACACCACCUUUUAAAAUCACAGACAAGUAGACAGCUAAAAGCAUGUUGAGAGGAAAUGCCGACCGUGACGUUGCUCUGAGUAUGAUAGCGGCGUGACCUUCGGAAGUAUAUAAUCGUUAUCGGGAGCGUUAUGCAAUGUGUGUGUGUGUGUGUGUGUGUGUGUGUCAGGAACAGGGGCAAGAGAGGGUUAGUUAGCAAAAUACAAACGAUGGAGAAUAACAUAACAAUAGAAGGGAAGCAGAAUACAGUUAUAGAAGUUAAAGUAAAAGGGGUGUGUGUGUGUGUGUGUGUGUGUGUGUGUGUGUGUGUGUGUCAGGAACAGAGGCAAGAGAGCGUUAGUUAGCAAAAUACAAACGAUGGAGAAUAACAUAACAAUAGAAGGGAAGUAGAAUACAGUAAUAGAGGAAAAGAAACAAGAAAAAACAAAAAACAAAAACGAGAAAGAAAGACGAAAAGAGAAAAAAUGAGAGAGAGAGAGAGAGAGAGAGAGAGAGAGAGAGAGAGAGAGAGAGAGAGAGAGAGAGAGAGAGAGAGAGAGAGAGAGAGAGAGAGACAA